This 254-nucleotide ribosomal RNA is filed under the name uncultured bacterium. Its description in RNAcentral is "partial 16S ribosomal RNA". It matches the Rfam family "Bacterial small subunit ribosomal RNA", at positions 524 to 776 of the family's 1533-position model. The record is from RNAcentral.
UACGUAGGGGGCAAGCGUUGUCCGGAAUCAUUGGGCGUAAAGAGCGUGUAGGCGGCCCGAUAAGUCCGCUGUGAAAGUCCAGGGCUCAACCCUGGGAUGCCGGUGGAUACUGUCGGGCUCGAGUCCGGAAGAGGAGUGUGGAAUUCCUGGUGUAGCGGUGAAAUGCGCAGAUAUCAGUGAGGAACACCAAUGGCGAAGGCAGCACUCUGGGACGUGACUGACGCUGAGACGCGAAAGCGUGGGGAGCAAACAGG